Molecule: ribosomal RNA, 465 nt
Filed under: uncultured bacterium
Lineage: Bacteria
Description: partial 16S ribosomal RNA
Rfam family: Bacterial small subunit ribosomal RNA
Source: RNAcentral
CUACGGGAUGCAGCAGUGGGGAAUAUUGGACAAUGGGGGAAACCCUGAUCCAGCAAUGCUGCGUGUGUGAAGAAGGCCUGCGGGUUGUAAAGCACUUUCGGUUGGGAGGACUGCUUCUAGCACUAAUAUUGUUGGAAGUUGACGUUACCUUCAGAAGAAGCACCGGCUAACUCCGUGCCAGCAGCCGCGGUAAUACGGAGGGUGCAUGCGUUAAUCGGAAUUACUGGGCGUAAAGCGCGCGUAGGCGGCUAGAUCAGUCGGGUGUGAAAGCCCCGGGCUUAACCUGGGAACUGCAUCCGAUACUGUCUAGCUUGAGUACAGGAGAGGAGAGUGGAAUUCCACAUGUAGCGGUGAAAUGCGUAGAUAUGUGGAGGAACACCAAUGGCGAAGGCAGCUCUCUGGCCUGAUACUGACGCUGAGGUGCGAAAGCGUGGGGAGCAAACAGGAUUAGAUACCCGUGUAGUC